UACGGGGGGGGUAAGCGUUGUUCGGAAUUACUGGGCGUAAAGGGCUCGUAGGCGGCCAACUAAGUCGGACGUGAAAUCCCUCAGCUUAACUGGGGAACUGCGUCCGAUACUGGAUGGCUUGAGUUCGGGAGAGGGAUGCGGAAUUCCAGGUGUAGCGGUGAAAUGCGUAGAUAUCUGGAGGAACACCGGUGGCGAAGGCGGCAUCCUGGACCGACACUGACGCUGAGGAGCGAAAGCCAGGGGAGCAAACGGG
This 253-nucleotide ribosomal RNA is filed under the name uncultured bacterium. RNAcentral's name for it is "partial 16S ribosomal RNA". It matches the Rfam family "Bacterial small subunit ribosomal RNA", at positions 524 to 776 of the family's 1533-position model. The record is from RNAcentral.